UUUUUCUUUCCUGUUUGGAACUCCGACUACACAAGUGCUUAAUCUUUUAACCAUAUCCUUUAUAUCUCAGUUCUUGUUUGUAUGUUCCCAAAUUGUUUCCAUUUAUGCUCAAGAUAGAUAUUUCUUACUUGUGUAUUUUCAGUUCUAGAAUUUCCAAUUGAUGAUGUUUAGAAAAUCCAGCUUUCUGGUGACAUAGUCAAUAUUUUCAUUUAUUUUCUUACAUCAAUGACAAUUAUUUUAACAUCUGUGUUUGGCUUUUCUAACAUCAGGAUCAUCCUUUGCUAUUGCUUUAUCCUUAUUUCUCCAUAUUUCCUGGCAUUACUGGUAAUUUUUCAAAGAAUACUAGAAAAUAAACAUAAAAAACUAAAGUUUGUGUGAUAUUAUCUUCCUACAGAGAAUUUUUUUUUUUUCCCCUGGCAAGACAGAAAAUAACCUUGGAUCCAUCUGAAGGUAUAUAUUUUCAAAUUGCCUUUAUUCCCAAGAAAAAAAGCCUUUUAAGAGGAUCCCACGAAAAGUGCGAGGUAUUAAUCAGGAGGCCUCCUUGCAGCUGGUCCUGAAAUCUAAUUUUUAUAUCCUAGGAAGCAACAUGGGUUCUGCUUGGUUUCUAGGAGUCUCACUCUCCAUAUACGCACCAACAAGUAGGUAAAUGCUUCAAAAGACGUGGUAAAUUGAACACUGGUUUGAGACCCGUCUUUGUGUUUUCCCUAGGAGCAGUAGGUUCUGUCUGUCUCAGAAUGCUCUCCUUCAAUCUGUGAUCCCAAAUACCAGUGACCUUGGUGCUACGAGCCACCAAUUUCUCAUCCUCUGUUCUGCUCUAUGAUGAGAGCUUCCAAAUGCCCAGGGGAAGAAAGGUGCUGAGAAGGCAGUGUUCACACAUCUACCCUGCUCUCUUCUCCACGACUUUGGAUGAACUGGUUUGGCUCUAGUGCCCCUAAACAGGCUCUUCUCAUUUAUUCUGUUAUUUUGUUGUUGUUUUUUCUAGGCAGGAAGGAGAGACUAGUAUCAGCUACCCCAGCACCGCUAUUAAUGAAAGUUCCUUCACAACUGCAUUUAAUGAGAAGGAAAUCUAAAUCAGCUGGAUUCUUAAAAUUAUACAUCUGUAUAAAUACUAACUGAAGUAACUUUAGGAAAAAAGUGAAAUGAUUCUUCGCUCAAAUCCCAGUGUAACCACGACUGACUGUGUAACUUUAGGCAGGAGACUUACUACCUCUGGAGUUGAAUUCGCUUGCAUGCAAGAAAGAAACCCUCAUGUGUCCUUACGUGUUUCAUGGAAUUAAGCGAGAAAGUGAUAUUCCUGGGUCCUGUUCCUUUCUGACUCAUCAUUAAUAAUUAAUCUUAUAAAUACCUAGUCAUUGCCUAUCAAAACCUUUUAUCUGUGUGUGUCACUUUUCUUUUGUGGGAUCUAUAAAGAGGGAAAAAAGACGGUACUAAUGCUCUGUGGCGCAGCUAUCAUAAAUUUAUCUUGAAAACAAACACGCCUAUUCAUUUUUAAAUAUUGAUGUGGUUGCUGUUGCUUUUGUAUUUAAAAAAAAAGAGAACCCUCUGGUCCAAGGAUUCUAUCUUAUUUAUCUUUGCAUCCUCCUAGGACAUGACACAGAGUAGGGAAAUAAUUAAUAACUCCUAAGGGGAACAGGGUAUACAUGCAUUUUAUGAAAAAUAAAGAGGAAGCAGAGGCUUACAAUUCAAGAUCUUAACUUUUAAGAAAUUCACAGUACUAUGAACUAGAAUCUUGCUUUUCACAAUCAAGGGCUAAUGCUGCCCUGUUGCCUAGUGACUGAAAAUAAAAUGCAGAGGCAGCACACCCUAUUGGAGCUUUUGGUUUCAGAAAUAAUACUUAUGGUGACUCCCUCUGAUCAUAGAAGGAAUUCAUAAUCAAUAUAAAGCAAAUUUCAAAAAUAAGUCAAAACAAGAAAAAUAUCAAGCACACUCCCAUUCUCUGAAGCUAACAUGUCCAGUAUCAAGAAUGAAUAAUUAAGAUACAGUUGGUGCAAUUUUUUCAAAUAUAAAAUUAACACCAUACAGGAUAUACUUAUGGUUAUCACUUUAUUUCCAUUAGCAUUAUAUUGUACCUCUUUUUAAAAAUAUCAGACAAUCUUUUUUUUUUUUCUUUUUAGGGUUCACCUGCGGCAUAUGGAUGUUCCCAGGCUAGGGAUCAAAUCAGAGGUGCCGCUGCCAACCUACGCCACAGCCACAGCAACGCAAGAUCCAAGCCACAUCUGUGAACGAAGACCACAGCUUGUGACAACACCCGAUCCUUAACCC
This 2262-nucleotide long non-coding RNA is filed under the name Sus scrofa (pig). RNAcentral's name for it is "lncRNA (ENSSSCG00015002497.1)". Lineage: Eukaryota; Metazoa; Chordata; Mammalia; Artiodactyla; Suidae. The record is from RNAcentral.